ACUGAAUGGCCACAUCUGUCUCUACAUAAUGUAUAUGUGUAUUAUCGAAUCCUGCUAAAAUUCGAUCACGCGCGAUAUAUAUCACUAACAUGGAGUUGUCAUACAAGUAGAAAACGUAUAUUCCACAUGUAAGCAGAAGAAAUAACUGAGAAGGGUGGUGAAUAAACAAGAAGAAAAACAAAAAGACAGAGGGAAUCAAAAGAGGUAGGGAUAGUGAAAGGUCCCUCUCCUUUCAAGAUCUAUACGUAAUAAACACAGAGGAUGAUGACAUAAACUCUUACUAUUAGGUUUUGAAACUGUUGUAUAUUAUUUGUCAGCGAAGGUCAAGCUGGCCUUUAAAGCAACGUACCACUGAGAUAUCUUCAGUUCAGACCCCACUCUUCGGCUUCCUAAUAUUCUAAUAAUUUUAAAUACUGCAUAUGCUUUGGUUUUGUAAGUGAGCUUCUCAAUCAUAUUUCAUCUAUCAUC
Molecule: long non-coding RNA, 468 nt
Filed under: Brassica napus (rape)
Lineage: Eukaryota; Viridiplantae; Streptophyta; Magnoliopsida; Brassicales; Brassicaceae
Description: long non-coding RNA (BNAP_LNC014554)
Source: RNAcentral